Molecule: ribosomal RNA, 582 nt
Filed under: Triticum aestivum (bread wheat)
Lineage: Eukaryota; Viridiplantae; Streptophyta; Magnoliopsida; Poales; Poaceae
Description: partial small subunit ribosomal RNA
Source: RNAcentral
AUGGUCGAAGGCUCGGACGCGGACAUUGCUAACCUGAAGUUCCUCCUCCUCUGCUUCCAACAAAUGUCUGGCCUCAAGAUCAACUUCGACAAGAAUGGUGUGAUGGUAAUGGGUUACUCUCCAGUGGAGGCCCUCGAUAUUGCCAACCGACUCAACUGCUGCCUGGGAUCCUUCCCCAUGACUUACUUGGGAACGUCCAUUAGUGACUCUCGGCUUACCGUUGUGGACUUGCGCCCAAGGGUGGCCAAGCUACAAACGUGCAUUGAGCCUUGGCAGGGUAGGUGGUUGUCAAAGGCGGCUCGGAAGAUUCUCAUCAACUUCUCCCUCUCCAGCCUCCUCUUGUUCCUCAUGAGCUUCUAUAGCCUUCAUGAGACCCUUCACCAUGAGAUCGCCAAAGUCCAAUCUCGCUUCUAUUGGGCUAGCGAUAACAAUAAGCAGAAAUACCAUAUGGUUAGCUGGCCAGACAUCUGCAAGCCCCGGGAUCAAGGAGGCCUCGGUAUCAUGUGCUCUAAGCACAUGAAUAUUGCCCUCCUCUUUCGCUGGCUCUGGCGCAUUUUGCAAGGGCACGGCGGCCUUUGGUUA